This 495-nucleotide ribosomal RNA is filed under the name uncultured bacterium. RNAcentral's name for it is "partial 16S ribosomal RNA". It matches the Rfam family "Bacterial small subunit ribosomal RNA", at positions 28 to 507 of the family's 1533-position model. The record is from RNAcentral.
GAUGAACGCUGGCGGCGUGCCUAAUACAUGCAAGUAGAACGCUGAAGGAGGAGCUUGCUCUUCUGGAUGAGUUGCGAACGGGUGAGUAACGCGUAGGUAACCUGCCUGGUAGCGGGGGAUAACUAUUGGAAACGAUAGCUAAUACCGCAUGACAACAGUUAUUGCAUGAUAACUGUUUAAAAGGGGCAACUGCUCCACUACCAGAUGGACCUGCGUUGUAUUAGCUAGUUGGUGAGGUAACGACUCACCAAGGCGACGAUACAUAGCCGACCUGAGAGGGUGAUCGGCCACACUGGGACUGAGACACGGCCCAGACUCCUACGGGAGGCAGCAGUAGGGAAUCUUCGGCAAUGGACGGAAGUCUGACCGAGCAACGCCGCGUGAGUGAAGAAGGUUGUCGGAUCGUAAAGCUCUGUUGCAAGAGAAGAACGAGUGUGAGAGUGGAAAGUUCACACUGUGACGGUAUCUUACCAGAAAGGGACGGCUAACUACGUG